This 258-nucleotide long non-coding RNA is filed under the name Actinidia chinensis (golden kiwifruit). RNAcentral describes it as "long non-coding RNA (ACHI_LNC002999)". The record is from RNAcentral. Lineage: Eukaryota; Viridiplantae; Streptophyta; Magnoliopsida; Ericales; Actinidiaceae.
AAACCCAAAAACAAAAAGAUGAACAUAUACAGAUUCCUAAUUCUCAAGGAUGAAACUAUUCAAGGAGACACCAAAAACCGUUCAAAUAACCAACUUAAUUUCUUCAGUUUUCCUUUCUUUUUCCUGCCUUAUCACACCUCUUCGAAGCCAACAUCUAACAUAUACAAUCUUAAGGGAGUUUAAUUGGUGAGUGAGAAAACAGAGAGAGAUUAUGAUUCGAUGAAGAUUCCUAACCACAUUGGGGAUCUAUAGAGAGCA